GGAGUGAACUCAGAUGUGGAGCACUACCUUUGUGAGCAGUGUGACCCAAGGCCCGUGGACAGAGUAAGCUGCCUUCUGAUAAAACUCU
RNAcentral lists this microRNA precursor (88 nucleotides) under Callithrix jacchus (white-tufted-ear marmoset). RNAcentral's name for it is "mir-555 microRNA precursor family". It matches the Rfam family "mir-555 microRNA precursor family". Lineage: Eukaryota; Metazoa; Chordata; Mammalia; Primates; Cebidae. The record is from Rfam by way of RNAcentral.